RNAcentral lists this ribosomal RNA (429 nucleotides) under Bacteroidota bacterium. Its description in RNAcentral is "Bacteroidetes bacterium partial 16S ribosomal RNA". It matches the Rfam family "Bacterial small subunit ribosomal RNA", at positions 355 to 776 of the family's 1533-position model. Lineage: Bacteria; Pseudomonadati; Bacteroidota. The record is from RNAcentral.
UAGGGAAUCUUCCGCAAUGGGCGAAAGCUUGACGGAGCAACGCCGCGUGAGUGAUGAAGGUCUUCGGAUCGUAAAACUCUGUUAUUAGGGAAGAACAAAUGUGUAAGUAACUAUGCACGUCUUGACGGUACCUAAUCAGAAAGCCACGGCUAACUACGUGCCAGCAGCCGCGGUAAUACGUAGGUGGCAAGCGUUAUCCGGAAUUAUUGGGCGUAAAGCGCGCGUAGGCGGUUUUUUAAGUCUGAUGUGAAAGCCCACGGCUCAACCGUGGAGGGUCAUUGGAAACUGGAAAACUUGAGUGCAGAAGAGGAGAGUGGAAUUCCAUGUGUAGCGGUGAAAUGCGUAGAUAUAUGGAGGAACACCAGUGGCGAAGGCGACUCUCUGGUCUGUAACUGACGCUGAGGCUCGAAAGCGUGGGUAGCAAACAGG